RNAcentral lists this ribosomal RNA (517 nucleotides) under uncultured bacterium. Its description in RNAcentral is "bacterial SSU rRNA". It matches the Rfam family "Bacterial small subunit ribosomal RNA", at positions 993 to 1509 of the family's 1533-position model. The record is from RNAcentral.
GAACUUAGCAGAGAUGCUUUGGUGCCUUCGGGGAACUCUGAGACAGGUGCUGCAUGGCUGUCGUCAGCUCGUGUUGUGAAAUGUUGGGUUAAGUCCCGCAACGAGCGCAACCCUUAUCCUUUGUUGCCAGCGGCUCGGCCGGGAACUCAAAGGAGACUGCCGGUGAUAAACCGGAGGAAGGUGGGGAUGACGUCAAGUCAUCAUGGCCCUUACGGCCAGGGCUACACACGUGCUACAAUGGCGCAUACAAAGAGAAGCGACCUCGCGAGAGCAAGCGGACCUCAUAAAGUGCGUCGUAGUCCGGAUUGGAGUCUGCAACUCGACUCCAUGAAGUCGGAAUCGCUAGUAAUCGUAGAUCAGAAUGCUACGGUGAAUACGUUCCCGGGCCUUGUACACACCGCCCGUCACACCAUGGGAGUGGGUUGCAAAAGAAGUAGGUAGCUUAACCUUCGGGAGGGCGCUUACCACUUUGUGAUUCAUGACUGGGGUGAAGUCGUAACAAGGUAGGCGUAGCGAG